RNAcentral lists this ribosomal RNA (523 nucleotides) under uncultured bacterium. Its description in RNAcentral is "bacterial SSU rRNA". It matches the Rfam family "Bacterial small subunit ribosomal RNA", at positions 28 to 521 of the family's 1533-position model. The record is from RNAcentral.
GACGAACGCUGGCGGCGUGCCUAAUACAUGCAAGUUGAACGCUAAAGCUUUAACUGGUGCUUGCACCGACUUAAGUUUUUAGAGUAGCGGACGGGUGAGUAACACGUGGGUAACCUGCCCAUCAGAGGGGGAUAACACUUGGAAACAGAUGCUAAUACCGCAUAAACCUCAAAAGCACAUGCUUUUGAGUUGAAAGAUGGCGUAAGCUAUCGCUUUUGGAUGGACCCGCGGCGUAUUAGCUAGUUGGUGAGGUAAAGGCUCACCAAGGCUGUGAUACGUAGCCGACCUGAGAGGGUAAUCGGCCACAUUGGGACUGAGACACGGCCCAAACUCCUACGGGAGGCAGCAGUAGGGAAUCUUCCACAAUGGACGAAAGUCUGAUGGAGCAACGCCGCGUGAGUGAAGAAGGUUUUCGGAUCGUAAAACUCUGUUGUUGGAGAAGAACGUACGUGAGAGUAACUGUUCACGUAGUGACGGUAUCCAACCAGAAAGCCACGGCUAACUACGUGCCAGCCGCCGCAGU